RNAcentral lists this ribosomal RNA (339 nucleotides) under uncultured bacterium. Its description in RNAcentral is "bacterial SSU rRNA". It matches the Rfam family "Bacterial small subunit ribosomal RNA", at positions 32 to 361 of the family's 1533-position model. The record is from RNAcentral.
AAUCAACGCUGGCGGCGUGCCUCAGACAUGCAAGUCGAACGAUUAAAGCUCUCUUCGGAGAGUGUAUAGAGUGGCGCACGGGUGAGUAACACGUAAGUAAUCUACCUUUGAGUGGGGAAUAACAAUCGGAAACGAUUGCUAAUACCGCAUAAUGCAGCGGCAUCGCAAGAUGACAGUUGUUAAAGGAGCAAUCCGCUUAAAGAGGAGCUUGCGGCAGAUUAGCUAGUUGGUAAGGUAAUGGCUUACCAAGGCUACGAUCUGUAUCCGGUCUAAGAGGACGGUCGGACACACUGACACUGAAUAACGGGUCAGACUCCUACGGGAGGCAGCAGUCGGGAA